This is a small nuclear RNA of Danaus plexippus plexippus, 109 nucleotides long. The record is from Rfam. Lineage: Eukaryota; Metazoa; Arthropoda; Insecta; Lepidoptera; Nymphalidae.
GUAUACUCGCUUCGGUACUACAUAUACUAAGAUUGGAACGAUACAGAGGAGUUUAACAUGGCCCCUGUUCAAAGAUGUCACUCAAAAUCGUGAAGCGUUCCACAUUUUU